UUUGAAACUUAGAUGGAACUAUUGGGACUAGAAGCUAUCUUUACAGACAUGGGCCCAUGGCUGCCUGCAGACAAUUUGGUACCUCAUGAGGACAACCUGUCCCAGGGUGAGGCCAAUACAGAGGAGAUCCAAACUGGGAUAUGAUCAAGGAGCAUUUGAGUGGCUGGAGCUAGCCAUGUCUGAAGCUGACAUAACUUGGGAAGGAUCUUUAACAAGCCCUCCCCAGACCGGAAGGAGAGCACACAUCACAGGACGACGGCCUGGAUCCCUGGUAGAUUUGCAGCUCCUGGUUCUAGAUGUUGCUGAGACCUGGCCCUGAAACUACUUGCCUGGGGGUCUCAGAUCUGUGUCCUCAUAAUGCAUCUUCCCUUUUCUGCUGUACAGCAGCUUAAGUGGUUUUGUUUCUUGCAACCAAAGCGGUCUUGAUUAAAAGAGUCUGAAACUAUGGCAUUUUGCAACAUGGACCUACUGAAUAAGCCUCCAAUCUGGAUUUUCUCUAAGCCCUAGAACUAUAUAUCUAACUGCCUGGUGGACUUCUCCACUUGGGGUACUAUAGGCCCCUAAACUCAAUAGCCAUUUUACUGUAAAUGUCCAAACAUUAGAGAGAGUGCUAAAGACCCCCUGAACCACAUCCCAUCCCCAGUCCCCUCCUUGGAGGGGAGCCCCAUUAUUGAUUGGUUUGCAUGAGGCCAGAUCUUUUUAAAGGCAUGUGCAUGUGAACACACGCAUAUAGAUAUGUAGAUGCAUGUUUGUCUGUUUUGUUUACUUAAAUGACUUUAUAGUCAAUAUAUCAUUUGACAACUCACUCUUUUCCUAUUCAAGUAAAUAUCAGCCUUUUAAACUGCUGCAUAUUAUUUUACAAGCUGGAUAUACCGUAAUUAAUUUAAUUAUUCCCUAUCACAGGACAUUUAGGCUGUAUUCUACUUUUAUUUUUUUCAGUCACAGAGAGCACUGCAGGGGACUUCCUUGUAAAGACCCUUUGGGACACAUGCCAGGGCUUUUUGGGGACAGGCAUAGAUAGCUGGACUUGCAGCUCCCAAGAAAUGGAUUCACUUCUGCCCUCCUCACCCACUAUCCAGCCCGAGGAACCCAGGGGUCUUUCUUUUCCCUUUCAGCCAAUCACCAGUGCUGGCUGGUGAUCUCACCUUGCCUUCCGAAUUCACAGCUUCUCAUCCGUUUCACUGGGCCCGCUCGCCUUCAGACCCACCUACCCCCUGCCUCAACCAUCACCAUGGCGGUUUCUCACUGGCCAACCCCCAAGUUCAGCCCUGGCCCUGGCUAAUCUGCUUCUACUCUUUGAUAGAGGAACUUACUGAAAAUGUAAACUUGAUGGGGUGGUCCACCGCCUAACCACAGGCUCCUCAGCAUCCCAAGAAAAGGCCCAAAUUCCUCACUGUGGCAUGCAAGGCACUUUGUUGUCUUGGACUGUUUUGUGCUGCUGUAACAGAAACCUGAAAUUGGGUAAUUUAUAAUUAACAUAAAUGUAUUGGUUCAUAAUUCUGAAGGCUGGGAAGUUCAAGAUCAAGGGGCUGGCAACUGGUAAGGGCCUUCUUGUUGUGUUAUCCCAUGGCAGAAGGGCAAAGAAAGAGCAAGAGAUCAAACUUGCAGCCUCAAACCAUUUUAUAACCAGCAUUAAUCCAUUCAUGAGCGUGGAGCCCGCAUGAUCUAAACACCUCCCACUGGGCCCUGCCUCUCAACACUGUUGCUUUGGGGAUUAAGUUUCCAACACAUGCAUUUUGGGGUGACCCAAGCCUGGCAGUGGUCCAAGCCUAGCUUCCCAGGCCAGAUCAUUUCUCUGUCACUUCUGCUGUAACCCUCUAAAAACAGAGAACUGGCUGUAGUCCUCCACUCACCCCCACUCUGCUAUUUCUUGACUCGACUUUUGCUCAUGCAGUGAUUUCUUACACCACUAGACUCAGUUCAGGUGUGACCUCACCCAGAGAGCCAUCUCCAAAGCAGAAUCAGGUGCCUCUCUCAGGUCCUCUUGAAGCACACUCUGGCCCCUUUCGCAUGGCACUUCUCACCCGUAUGUUAAUUAUUCAUAUAUGCAUGUAUCUGUUCUCCCACCAGACUGUGAGCUCCAUAUGGAUGAGCACUUGAUUUCUCCCACCACAGUGUCUGCAGAACACAGAGACAGCUCUGUCUCUCUCUUGAUCCAUGUGUUUUGGGAGAUCUGGCCCCACUUCCUAUCUCCAUGAAAUUUCAGUGUUACCCUGGGUUUUUUUUUGUUUUUUUUUUUGAGACAGAGUCUCUCUCUGUUGCCCAGGCUGGAGUGCAAUGAUGCGAGCUCAGCUCACUGCAACCUCCACCUCCUGGGUUCAAGCGAUUCUCCUGCUUCAGCCUCCCCAAUAGCUGGGAUUACAGGUGUGUGCCACCAUGCCCAGCUAAUUUUUGUAUUUUUAGUAGAGAUGGGGUUUUACCAUGUUGGCCAAGCUGGUCUUGAACUCCUGACCUCAAGUAAUCCGCCUCGGCCUCCCAAAGUGCUGGGAUUACAGGUGUGAGCCAUUGCGCCCUGCCUCAUCCUGGCUUUUAAGUCAGUCAGUAGGAAUGGUCAUUAGGUCUGGGACGUUUUGUUCAAACUCUUGGGAAAGAAAGGCUGUCUUCUCAGCUUGACUUGGCAUUGUGAGACUAUGAAGCUAACGAGACUGCUGCCACCUCACCAUCUUCAGGAGUUGGCCCAUGUAAGAAUGGGAGCCAAGAAAAGAAAAGAAUAAAUACUGAGUUCUGACGACACCAUCUGAGCUCCACAAAACGGGCAUCUCUCCUCCAUUGGACUUCCCUUUUGUAUGCAUCCAAUGGAAGGGAGAAAACUCAUCUUCUCUUCGCAACUGGAGUUUUCUCAUCAUCUAG
Molecule: long non-coding RNA, 2850 nt
Filed under: Homo sapiens (human)
Lineage: Eukaryota; Metazoa; Chordata; Mammalia; Primates; Hominidae
Description: HSALNT0230606
Source: RNAcentral